Cannabis sativa is the source of this 1119-nucleotide long non-coding RNA. RefSeq lists it as uncharacterized. The transcript has 3 exons. NCBI's taxonomy places the organism in Eukaryota, Viridiplantae, Streptophyta, Magnoliopsida, Rosales, Cannabaceae. The record is from RefSeq and is a predicted model, not a curated record.
UAAUCUGAAUUUUUAUUUGAAAAUAAUUGAGUAUGAAUUGACUUGAAUGCCCUUGUAUGUGUGAAUAGGUGAAAAUUGGCCUUAGGGGCAAAAUGGUCAUUUGACCUUUAUUUUCUAUACUUGGUAAAAGCUUAUUUUUUUUAGGGAAGUAAAUGAAUUUCUGGUUUUUGUAUCCCUCACACCCGACCCCUCUCUCUCUCUCUAACCCUUUCUUUUAGAAAUCUUGAUUUUGAGAGAAAAGGGCUUGAUUUGGUGUAGCUUUGUGGAUGUUCUUGCUUGGGAAGAACUUGAGGAACUUGUGGAUUACCGGCACCUGAUCAGGAGCACCCGGGGAUUCAGAAUCUCCUUCUAUAGCUGGACAACAGGAAAGGGUAAGACAUUAGCUGAUCAACCAUGAGUUUCAGGAGCAAGGCGAAGAAUGUACAUGUUCAUGCCACUUCAGACCAAGCGGGUUAUGGGUCUAACAGUGUUGACUUUGUAUUCUGUUUUGUCGCUUAGGUCGGCUAGUAAGAAAGAACUUGUAAUAAGUUUGUAAAUAUUUUUGGGAUCCCAACUAUUUUGAAAAGUUUAAAUAUAUUACAAGUUUAUUUUCAGUCUGUUUAAUAUAAAAGUUUAAAUUCUGCGCUAUUUUAAUUAGUAAUCCCGAUUAGGGGAUUAGGAUUUCAUAAGCAUUUUGGGUAGCGUGCCUAAUUAUUUAGGGCGUUACACCUAGACUACUUACAUGCUGACGUAUGGGGACCAGAAAAAAUACCUACACAUGGAGGUAAAUCAUACCUUCUCUCAAUUGUUGAUGAUUUUUCUAGAAAAGUUUAAGUAUUUUUAUUAAAAACUAAAAAUUAAGCUUUAGAAAAAUUCAAAUAAUGAAAACUGUUCAUAGAAAACUUAACAGAAAGAAAAAUUAAAAACAUACUACCUAAAGUAUGUUCAUUUCUCCUAUUUCUCACAUACUACCUAAAGUAUCCUCGUGAAAUGAGACUUCCAAUCUCAUAUUUGAGUUGUCGACACUCCUCAGUUAUGUGGUCAAUAUCUUUGUGAAAGCGACAAUAUCUAUUGUGAUCCCGUUUAUUCCUCGCAUUUCUCAUAAGUUCUAUUUUGCAAAAAGUGACCCUAUUCUCAUUU